CUUGGGUUCAUCUUGGAGGACAUAUAAAAGUUGGUUGAAAAAACAGUAUUUUAAGGAAAACAUGUCACUAGAUUACAAUAUGAAGAAUUGUCCUCGUACUGUUCCACUUGAUCGUUGGAAGAUUCUUGUUCAAUUUUAGAGCCCUGAUAUGAUUAAGGAACAAAGCAAGAAGAAUAAAGCUAGUAGAGCAAAGAAUACAAGUCAACAUACAACAAGAUAAAAAAUAUUUGCUGAAAUACGUGAAGAAGAGCUAAAAUUAAUGUGUUUACAUUGUCUUAUUUGCAUUGGUUCUUUUUUAGUUAAUUGUGUUUUUUGUUGAUAGGCAAUGAAAAAUCCUGAUAGAAGAGAACCAUCUCGGGUGAACAUGUUCUUUUUAACACACAAGCCAAGAGAUGGAAAAUCAAUGAGUGAGGGAACAAGCAAAAUUUUUUUAGAGCUUGAGGAUGCCAUAACUUCACAUCCUGAAAAAUUAGAAAGUACAAACCAAGAUGAUAUACUUUCCCAAGUGUUGGGAAAAGAUCAACCCGGUUGUGUCCGAACUUAUGGUAGAGGUGUUAUAGCUUCAGAUUCGUG
Molecule: non-coding RNA, 573 nt
Organism: Arachis ipaensis
Lineage: Eukaryota; Viridiplantae; Streptophyta; Magnoliopsida; Fabales; Fabaceae
Source: RefSeq, a predicted model, not a curated record